GUGUCCUCCAUCUCUCCGCUUUCUCUCAUUUCUCCUAUAUUAAGGACAAUCUCACAGCCAGAGACUGCUACAGUUCCUCCUUCAUCUGUUAUCCUUCUUAUCUCUACAGAGCUGUUGGAGAGUGAAGCAGCACAGAGCUGACCUUAUAAAGGCUACUCCUGACCAGACCACACCUCUGUCCCUGAGUCCAUGGAAGCCAAGGCCAAGACCGGGGCUCCAGCGCCCAAGGCGGCAUCUAAAGCAGAGAAGAAGGAGCCGGCAGCCCCACGCAAAGCUGACCCUGCCCCUGCAGCCCCUGAGCCUGAGCAUCCUCCUCCCCAGGAUGGGGCAGCAGAAGCCGAAGCAGCAGCAGCAGGUGACGAGGCUGCGGCCUGCGGCACAGACUCUCUGGAGCACCUGAAACCCUUUCUCAUCGGUGGUGCUGUUAUUGCUGCAGGAGCCAUCUUGCUGGGAGUGUUGCUACUGGCAAGGAGAAAUUAAAACCAAAUUCUUGUCUCAUAUUAAAGUAUUUAUCAGUCGAUGAGUUAGAGCAUUGUUGCUGAGUGGUUCACAGACUAUGAUGGUACACAUGGGGGGUGGGGAGCCACUGUGCAUCUUAUUUUUAUUUUCUUUUUUUGGCCUGCUUUCACUCGUAGUGAGUUGAACCAUUCAAGUUUUGAUCAAGGCUGUAUAUGGAGCAUAAUUACAUAUAGUAUAUGCAUGAAGUUGCUUCAAUAUUGCAUCUGAAUUGUAAUAACGUUUCUUAAAAAAAACUCACACUGUAAUACUGAGCUUAAAAGCCUAAACUCUCUAAAGGUAGCUUAUUCAACUGCUUUAUCUUAUUUAAUUCAGUAUGCACAAAUAUUGACAUAAGCUUGCAAUAUUUGUGCAUUCCUGCACUGGAAAUAGCUUGGUUCACUUUGCUAAAAGAUCAUGAAAAACUGUAUUGAUAAUGUUGAAACUUAUAGAUAUUAAUACUGACUACCAGAGUUGUUCUAGGUUUUACCUUUAAAUAGGUAAACAGUUACGAAAAUGCAGUGGUGUAUUGCACAUAUUUUGGUUAAAGCAGUGCCUAAGUGAAGGGAUUCAGUUUCUUUCCUCAGAGUACAAGGAAGGAAACACUAAAUCUCUGCAUAUAUAUAUAUAAAUAUAUAAAUUUCACAUAGGGAAUGGCAUAGUGCAACUAAAAAAAAAAAUCAACUUUUGAGAAAAAGAGAAAAUAUAGGCAUGCUGUGGUUUAGGGAUGGGAUGUAGGGGACUGCUGGAGAUAAAACAUGCACAGUAUGUUGCAGAGAAAAAGUUACGUCUUACUGUAGAAUAAGAAAGUUUUAUUUUACUGUCAAAUGAUGUCACAAAUCAAUAACCUUUCAUGUCUUACAACAACAGUCACAGUCGUGCUGGUUCCAUCUGUUUACAUCCUACUGUAGAUGUAACAGUAUCAGGCUGAACAGCCAUUAGUGUUGUAGUAACAGGCUUUAAAGCCUGCUGCCAAAACAUUUGAGUUGUUUCUGUCUUCACUGUGCUCCCCUAAUGUGGCUUUAGGAAGAAUCCUUGUUUUCAAAACCUCAUCAAUAACUAAGUACAAAUAUAAUGUAAUGAGAACAUCGUAAGUUGCUAAUAUAAUUAAAGUGGGGGGGUAGAUGAACAACUGUUGUAUAGUUUACUCAAAGGGGGAAAAAAAAUUGUCAAGCAGCCACAAUUUUGUUGCUGCACACACAGUCACCUGUACAGCGAUACACAAUAUUGUCCACUCACAUGUAAAGCUCAUAGGGAUGUUGCAUAAGUAGAUAGCAGAAAGACAGCUCUGACACACACCAUUACUUGAUUUUAGUUGUAGGGGUACGUACGAAUUUUACCACACAUUACUGGCCAAACAUACCACAUUCACCAUCGUCAACACCCCGAACACAUCCAAAAGAUAGUAUGCCAACACAAAAACAAACUUCACCUUACAUUGUACAAUACAGUGUACCAAAAAAAAAAAAAAAAUAAAGAUCCUAUUUUCAUAAUUUCAACAGCG
Molecule: long non-coding RNA, 1999 nt
Organism: Chelmon rostratus (copperband butterflyfish)
Lineage: Eukaryota; Metazoa; Chordata; Actinopteri; Chaetodontiformes; Chaetodontidae
Exons: 2
Source: RefSeq, a predicted model, not a curated record